GAUGAACGCUGGCGGCGUGCCUAAUACAUGCAAGUCGAGCGAACAGACGAGGAGCUUGCUCCUCUGACGUUAGCGGCGGACGGGUGAGUAACACGUGGAUAACCUACCUAUAAGACUGAGAUAACUUCGGGAAACCGGAGCUAAUACCGGAUAAUAUAUUGAACCGCAUGGUUCAAUAGUGAAAGACGGUUUUGCUGUCACUUAUAGAUGGAUCCGCGCCGCAUUAGCUAGUUGGUAAGGUAACGGCUUACCAAGGCAACGAUGCGUAGCCGACCUGAGAGGGUAAACGGCCACACUGGAACUGGAACACGGACCAGACACCUACGGGAGGCAGCAGUAGGGAAUGUUCCGCAAGAGGCGAAAGCCUGACGGAGCAACGCCGCGUGAGUGAUGAAGGUCUUCGGAUCGUAAAACUCUGUUAUUAGGGAAGAACAAAUGUGUAAGUAACUAUGCACGUCUUGACGGUACCUAAUCAGAAAACCACGGCUAACUACGUG
This 497-nucleotide ribosomal RNA is filed under the name uncultured bacterium. RNAcentral describes it as "partial 16S ribosomal RNA". It matches the Rfam family "Bacterial small subunit ribosomal RNA", at positions 28 to 507 of the family's 1533-position model. The record is from RNAcentral.